AGUACCUUUGAGUUAAACAAGAAAAUAUGAGUGGGUAAUAAAUUUGGGUUUUCUUAUAUCCAGUUUGCAGCGGUGGUACACCUGUAUUACACACCUAUUUGGAGCACUUGUGAAACAGCUGUUAAUAACCUGUACUACAGGAAAUGCUAAAUGAAGUUCUUCAGGCUGAAGGGAAAUAACACCAAAUGGAAACCCAGGUGUUCAGGAAGGCUGAAGAGCAGCAGAAAGGAAAGGACCAAGAGCCUCACCUAAACUAUCAUCCUUCCAAAAGUGGGUCUAAUAGCAGGAAGAGGGACUGAAAGGGAGAAAGAAGAGAAUAAUACAAUGCUUGUUGAAAGGCCGACAUGGGUGUUUGGAAGAGAUGUUACGGAGCUAAACUGCUGGCAAAAUUGGAAGUAGGCAACUUCGCUUUUGAUACCAGUUACCACCAUUUCGUCCUCCAGUAAAUGUAAACUUCUUAAAUGUUUGUCGCA
Long non-coding RNA from Lemur catta (Ring-tailed lemur), 473 nucleotides. RefSeq lists it as uncharacterized. The record is from RefSeq and is a predicted model, not a curated record. The transcript is spliced from 3 exons. Lineage: Eukaryota; Metazoa; Chordata; Mammalia; Primates; Lemuridae.